UUCUCCUACUUUUUCAAUCUCGCCCAUCAGAUUCAUCCCCCCACAUUCAUUCCACGUCAACCCAGUUCAAAUCCAAUUCGUUUCACCAAAACCCCAAAACCCUAAUUCCCAAUUUGUGAGCCAUCGCAAAUUGGGAAAGCUCGAAAUGGCUUUGACCCACACGCAUUUAUAAUCUCUGCCUCCGUCACUGUCUUUGCUUCUCGGCUUCAAUGGCUUCCAAAGCUUCGUGCUUUUUCUGCAAGGCCGAGAGUGAUCAGUUCGUUAAUGGCUGGGAGCUCAAGGAUGGGUCUUUCGCCCGGAUUGUGUUGCUUUGA
Molecule: long non-coding RNA, 314 nt
Filed under: Rosa chinensis
Lineage: Eukaryota; Viridiplantae; Streptophyta; Magnoliopsida; Rosales; Rosaceae
Description: sRNA RchiOBHm_Chr5g0035521
Source: RNAcentral